GGAAAAUUAGUUAAAUUUAUAUAAUAUAAGUAUGUCAAACUUAAGUAACUAUUAUUAGUAUUUUCUU
This 67-nucleotide transfer RNA is filed under the name Rhynchothorax sp. JZ-2022. RNAcentral's name for it is "tRNA-Asp". Lineage: Eukaryota; Metazoa; Arthropoda; Pycnogonida; Pantopoda; Tanystylidae. The record is from RNAcentral.